Hibiscus syriacus is the source of this 168-nucleotide long non-coding RNA. RefSeq lists it as uncharacterized. The record is from RefSeq and is a predicted model, not a curated record. Lineage: Eukaryota; Viridiplantae; Streptophyta; Magnoliopsida; Malvales; Malvaceae. The transcript is spliced from 3 exons.
CUUCAAUUUGUACGAAGAACAGGAUCAAUUUUCCUAAAGAAUAAUAAUAAAGAGAAAAAUAAAUGCACCGGUUCGAUCUGAUUCUUUCUUCCUACGUUCAACUCCACGUUUCAGGAAAAAUCUACUCGAAUUUUGAAUUAGGAUUGUGAUUGUGUUGAAUUCUGCUGG